ACCUUUCUCGGCCUUUUGGCUAAGAUCAAGUGUAGUAUCUGUUCUUAUCAGUUUAAUAUCUGAUACUGGGCCCUUGGCUCACAUGAUAUUAAAUUUAUUUUUUAGGGGAUAGUCCAUCACUACAGGGGCUCUUGAGCGUCGCCCAGGCGUUGCACCUCCACCCAUUUUCAAUUAUUCCUGCAAGGCUUCACGCAUUUCAGAUCAAGCUUACUGAUCAACAAAAGCCACGUUCGGAAUUAGAUCGAGGCAAAGAAAAAGUAGUGGAUUAAUCGGUCGACUUACUCCAUAUUAACUCGAGUGUUUCGAAAGCUCGCUUGGAUUAAAAGUUUUCAGAGAUCGCAUCACACUAUCAAAUGUUAUUUUGGUACUUUUGACUUUGUAUUUUGGGUUAAAUAGCAUGUAUAGGCCUUUUUGGCUAAUGAUAGCCUAUGUGUUUUGUUAAGUAUUUAGCCAAUCAAUUUGGCUUGAAUUUGAUACAUUUUGACAUGUAAAUAUGUAAAUAGCCGUGGUAUACGAUGUACAAUUGUCAUAUGAAUGCCUUGACUACGAAAUGGUCUUUUGGGUACCACAUGGUUAUGAUUCUUAAAUGACAUACAUGUUAAGUUUUAGGUACAAA
Molecule: long non-coding RNA, 616 nt
Organism: Gossypium arboreum
Lineage: Eukaryota; Viridiplantae; Streptophyta; Magnoliopsida; Malvales; Malvaceae
Exons: 4
Source: RefSeq, a predicted model, not a curated record